This is a long non-coding RNA of Vespa velutina, 6079 nucleotides long. RefSeq lists it as uncharacterized. The record is from RefSeq and is a predicted model, not a curated record. The transcript has 2 exons. Lineage: Eukaryota; Metazoa; Arthropoda; Insecta; Hymenoptera; Vespidae.
AUGAAAAGGAUAAGAGGCUACAUUUCGGCAGUGCAAAAUCACCAACGCUCGUGGAAACGUGCGAGAAACUUUAAUGCCACGAUAUUCUUCCGUUGGGGCGGAAAGGAAGGGGUGUGUGGUAAAGAAAGAGAGGGCCAAUUCUCGUUUCAUUGUUUCGUACGAUUACCAUCGAUCGUCGUAACGCUUUACGCGUGAACGAGCGUAAAUAUCGAUGGAUCGAUGGCACGGGCGCUUUCAAAAGUAUUUACAGAUUUAUUUUGUCAAAUAUUGCUAUGACGCGGUUGAUCGUGGACGACGAAUGAACGAACGAACAAACGAACGAAAGAAUGAACGAUCGAAAAAAAAAAAAAAAAUAAAUAAAAUAGAAAGGAGAGGAAAAAAUACAAUCAACGGAUUCGACAAUAUUUUUAUCCCCGCGAGGCCAUUUUUUGUUUCUUUGCUUUUUAUUUUUUAUUUUUUAUUUUCUUUUUUUUAUUAUUAUAUUUUAUUUUUCUCUUCCUUCUCACCACCCCUGUCUCCUUCCCUUCCCCCUAUAAUCGAGCACACGAUUUAUUACUUUGAUACGCAUGUAUGUUCAUGAAUUUGUACGAAUAGGGGCGUUGAGUGAAAAGCGAACGCUAUUACAAGGAAGAAACGCGUGUAGAUUUUCCAGUUCUAAGCGCCACAAACGAAGCCAUUGAUUCUUUUUUCAACUACAGAGAAAGAAAGAGAAAAAGAGAGAGAGAGAGAGAGAGAGAGAGAGAGAGAGAUUCAUGGAAAGUUUUAAAAAGCGAUGCGACAACGAGCCGAUUGUGAUGAAGGAAUCGUCGUGCCUGUAAACGGAAGGGCUCCGAUGUCCUCUCCUUCAAUCGAAACGAGAGCAGCAUUCGACAAGAGUCGUACAGCAACGGAGAACAAUGACGAUCCUGGCACGGUCGAAGGAACGCCAAUACACAACCAUCUCAAUUAUAUAUAUGUGUACAUAUAUAUAUAUAUAUACACACGCAAACACUAUACCUACAUAUAUAUAUAUAUAGCUAUGUAUAUCUGGACGCCACCAUCAUUAAUUUCAUUGAUUUGUGACUCGAGUGAGUAGAAGGAUAAGCAUCGAUUUUCUCAACCUCUCGUUAUUCUCUAUUCGUAUUUGAAGGAUUAGAAUCGGACCCGUUGUAAUUAGAAUCACGAUUGUCUCUACCUAUCUGUCUCUCUCUUUCUCUCUGUCUGUCCGUUUCUCACUGUUUUUCUCUCUCUCUCUCUCUCUCUCUCUGUCUCUUUGUAUAUAUAUAUAUAUAUAUCUUUCUCUUUAUGCCUCUGUUAAAUUAAAAUCAUAACUUUGUAAGGUUUUCGCUUUGAUAACCGAGAUAGAAAGAGAGAUAUCUCUUUUCAAACAACCUAAACAAGUAUAAUUAUGUCUCUCUGUAUUUUGUCCAACCAGUGUAAUGGACAUAUUCAAUUAAAUCCCUUUCUCUUCUUUUUUACGAGAUCUCUCAGCGACUCGUUUUUCAACGUUGUACAAAUCGUUAAAAACGAGUAUCGGGGAGCACUAUAUCGUCGUCAUAGUUAUCAUUGGAUGAACGAGUAAAAAAAAUAAAGAAAAAGAAACGCGACUGUGGAAGUGGAUUGGUAAUAAUAAUGUGAACUCGGUAUACGAAUAAAACGCGAAACGUGUAAUAUAUAUGUACGUAUGUAAUUCAAAACGGUCUGAGAGUACGUUACUUUUACAAUCCUGUGGAUACUAAAAUUGAAUUCGAAUCGGAGUCUCUCAUGUUUAUUGCAAUAGUAUUGGUGAUCGUCGUUUUUGUAUCUGGCAGAAACGGUAUCCAUUAAAAAUUCGAGUAAAAUCAGUGCUGCGAAUUUAUAUACGUAUUUCCUCCUCCUCCUCCUCCUCCUCUUCCUUGGUUUCUCUUUCUACUCUUCUAUGCGAUUUAUCGCAGCAUCAUUGAGAUCUCUUGUUCUCUCCAUUUUCGCAAAGGUUAAAGGACCAUCAGGGCACGUGAUUCCACUGGGCUGGCUGCUCUUUGUCGUAAUUGAAUUCGUUAAUUACAGGCGUACCGAUUACGCUCAUUUAAUACAUUUUCAUGCAAUUUUGCGUGCGUUGUAAUGGGAACGAAAGCUAUGUUUAUAUAUAUAUACAUAUACGUAUGUAUGUAUGUAUAUAUCUAUGUAUAAUUUCUAUUAUGGAGGAAGAGUCGUUUAAGGCUCGUCUAUAAUAAAUCACGUCUUGCUAAUCGCUCCGACUAGCGUUUUAGGAGAAUCCUACUAAUGACGCUAAUGACACCGCACCCUAAUUACGCGACACGAGUUGUCUCCGAAUUCGAACGGAACACGAGAUCCGCUCGUUCGAGUUCACCUAUUUUUUCUUUUUUUCUUUUUCUCCUUCUCCUCCUCGAUUUUUUUCAUUUUUUUUUCUUUUCUGUUCCUCUUUUUUCUUUUCUUCUUCAUCUUUACCGAUCUUUUACCCGGAAAAAAAUGUCCACCUUGUCUCUUAUCUAAGACAUUUUAUCGGGCUGUUGCCUUUCUCCAAUUUGCUUUUUCGCACGCUGUACCGUUAUAUAUCGUUUCCCUUCGUCAUUUAUGCCCUUAACGUACAACUAUCAUAUUUAUCUAGCAUAUUAAUCGGGACCCUGGCAUUUUUGUAAGAUAGAUUUCCGUCCGUUAUUAAAUUUCAUUAAAAGUCCGCAAUUAAAAAGGGUACCCUGAGGGUGAUAUUUUUUCCUUUUCCUUUCUUUUCUUUUUUUUUUUUCUUUUUCUUUUUUCUUCUUGUUCUUUUUUUUUUUUUUUUUUUUUUCCUAACUCCCGCGAGCGCGUGUCCUUCUACUGUCCCUAGUUAAUAUCAAUCGUAAAAAUGCGAUAGGAAACGUUUACAAAAUUCUUUCCUCACUUUGCGCGAAUGUAAGUAAAAGCGAUCGAAAAGAAAAAAAAACAAGAAAUAAAAGGAACAAAAAAAAUUACAAAUAAAAGUAUAUUAAAAAACAAAAACAAAAAAAAAAAGGAAUAGAAAUGGAGGGUUGGAGGAAACUUUCAUUUCGGAAAGUUAAUCGAUAUAAAAUUAAUACCAUCCACGUUAAUUAUUCUCCACGUUCAUCGAUGUCAUUCUAUCUUCCCCUUUUACUCGCGUGCGAUAUCACGAGGUUAUAAAAAAAAAAGAAAAGAAAAGAAGAAAAAACAUUGAUGGAAAAUUCGACGAGGCUCUCUUCGAUUUCGCGAUAGGUAAACGACGAAUUGGCAAUUUUGGCCAAGUGCGAUAUCGCCCGGUAAAACAAAAAAAAAAAAAAAUAACAAUAAAAACAAUAGCAAUGACGUUAACAUCAAGAAGAACAAGAACGAUAACAAAAUAACAUUAACGAGGACAAUGACAAUGUUGAUAAAGGGCAAUGGUUAUCGUAACGUUCCGGCCUUUAUUAUGUUUCGAUCGUGCUUGGUAAUUGAACCAUUAUUACCUAUAGUAAACCUAUAUACAACGAAUAGCAGUUAUCGAAUGAGAGAUAUACGUCGAGUGAGCCAGACCAGUCCAAUUAUUAUUUACUAAAUACCAGCCAGCCAGCCAGCCAGCCAGCCAGUCAAUCCAAUCUUUCGAUGGUUCUCGUUGUUGCGCGUGCCGUUGGUAAAGCACCGAUCCCUGUUCGAAAACCUUCUGAAGAUUUUCUUUUUUCCUUUCCCUUUCGUUGAGAAAGGAGUAAAAGAGGAAGGAAGGAAGGAAGGAAGGAAAGAAGGAAGGAGAAUGUAAGUGCGUAGAAAUGCUUUUCAAAGUCCACUAGAGGAACUCGUGCAUGCUUAUAAAUGCGUAGGACGAUAGAACCCUCUCGAAAAGAGAAGAAGGAGGAGGAGGAGAAGGAGGAGGAAGAGGAGGGAAUUCUCUUCAGAAGCUCGAUUUUCAGGAGCCUUAUCGAGUUUCGAAGAUUCGAAAGGAGUCACCGACAGCCCUUUCCUUCCUUCCUUCCUUCCUUCCUUCCUUCCUUCCUACAAAUAUUCUCUCUCCUUUUCCUUUCUUCCUUUAUUGCUGCUUCUCCACCUGUCAGGGCACGACAAAAGUCCGUAAAAUUAAAUAUUGAUUUUGUUUGCGAUCAGAAGAAUCAGCCGCGACUUAUUCUGCGAGCAAAGUAUAGGAACGAGGAUGAGGAUGACAAUGAGGAUGAAGGAUGAAGAGUAUGAGAGUUAAGGUUAAGAUGGGAGGAGACAGAAAAGGAGGAGGGAUUCUUCGUCCUCCCGAGUUUAUCGCUGAUUCCAGUCGGAAAUCCACUUAGGGCAACUUUAAAGGAUGAGACCUCAGGGAUAUCUGCGUCCUCGUAUUUUCGCAAACUGGAAAUGAUUUCUAUACUUUCUUAUCUUUUUUUUUCUUUUUGUCUUUUGUUUUUUUUUCUUCUCCUUUUUUCACUAUCCAUUUUUACCCGCUUGUCCUUUUCUUCGUUAAACUCGCCAUUGCAUACUCGAAUGAUUCUUAUUCACUCUCUCUCUCUCUCUCUCUCUCUCUCUCUCUCUCUCUCUCUCUCUCUCUUUUUCUCUUUUUCUCUUGAUUUCGAACGACCAACCAUCGAUGGAAUUCAUCGAGGCUUCAUUGAACUCGGUGUAAAUUAGAGGCUUCAUAUGGUCUCUCCAUCUCUCUCUCUCUCUCUCUCGCGUGCGCGGUUACGAGUCUCUCAAAAUUCACGACACGAGCCUAACGGCCAGUUGGAAUUUCACUAAAAUUCCUGGCAUAGCCAUAGCCCACGUGAGAACCUUCCGGUUAAUAAUGAAAGCACGUCAGUUUGUAAGUUAAUUAACCUAACGGAUCGAUUAAUCACGAGAGUAAAGAGUCUCGCCCGCAUUUUACUCAAGCUGCUUUUACGAUCGUAAAUCCGAUUCGAUCGGAUCCGAUCGGGGGAUAUUCCUGAUAAUAGUUUCUAUUUUCGAGAUAACAUCAUCUACUUUACAAAAUUCUCUUCGCGUUAUAGGGAUGAAGAGGAAAUUAAAAAAAAAAAAAAAAAAGAAGAUGAAUAAAAAAAAAAAAAAACGAAUAAGCAAAAAACAGUAAAAAAAAAAAAAAAAUAAUCUUUCCUUUCACUUUCCUGUGUUGACCUUUCAAAGUUCGUAGAAUCUAUUCUCUACGGUGUUUAGAAUACUCGACUGUUUUACGUUUCUUCGUUGAAGGUUGUCAUCGCAUUGGUGAAAAAUAUCCACUUGUAUAAACCCAGUUAUAUAUAAUACGUGUCGGUUUUGCCGGCAAGGGUUUCGUAAAACGAAACUUCGAAGAGCAAACUCGCGGUGGUCUCAAGCACGUCGUCCUAGGAUAACCUAACCCCGCACCUCCCCUUCGCUAACUCAGACUUGUCGUCCAUCAUCUAUCCUUCCUUAUUUUCUUUUUUUUUUUUUUAUUUCUUUUUUUUUUUUAUUCUCACUCUUUCUUACAGUUUCUAUCUUUCCUUGUCUCGUGAAAAGCGACACGACGACGAAACCAUCGUUGAUCUUUCUAGGAUAAAAACCACCACCAUUCAUCCUUUCGAAUGCGAAUUUUAUUAGGUGUGUUGUAAGUUCCAAAGUCGAAAAGUCGCUUCGUAAAUUUCAAGAAACCAAAGAAAAGGAAGAAAAGAAAAAAGAAAAAAUUCCGAAUCGAAAACUUUGGAAAUUUCAAUUGCUACGGUUUGAAACUCUUUUCUGUACCUUCUCAAGUUUUUAUCGUCUCAAGGUUACUCUCUUGGAAUACUCCGAUAAUAUAAUCGUCGCGACGUAUCAAUUUUGUACGCGUGAUAGUAAAAAAUUUUGCGACAAGAACAAAAGAAAGAAAGAAAAAAAAAAGAGAGAGAGAGAAAUAGAAAGAAAUUAGAGAGAUUCUUGGAUGGUACAAAUUCGCACGUGAAUGAAGACUCGAGUCUCGUUCUCUGGUUCUCGUCUAAGGAAAGAUUUUGGCAAAUUUCCCGUUCUCCACGUUCUCCGCAGUCAUUCACGAGCCAACAAAACCACACGAGACGAUAACUCGUCCCGGCCGUCAUCGUCGUCAUUUAAACGUUGACGUUAGCCGCGAGCAAACGUGUAACUUGUCUGCCUUUUUCCGCGACAAUAUUGCGAUAAAGGAAGAAAGAAAGAAAGAAAAAAAAAAGAAGAAAAAGAAAAAAAUAAUCGUUAA